GACGAACGCUGGCGGCGUGCUUAACACAUGCCAGUCGAACGGUGAAGGGACUGGUUUUGCUGGUCCUGGAUGAGUGGCGAACGGGUGAGUAACACGUGAGUAACCUGCCCCCUUCUUCUGGAUAACCGCAUGAAAGUGUGGCUAAUACGGGAUAUUCUGGGUCUGUCGCAUGGUGGGCCUGGGAAAGAUUGCGCCUUUUUUGGUGUUUUUGGUGGGGGAUGGGCUCGCGGCCUAUCAGCUUGUUGGUGGGGUGAUGGCCUACCAAGGCGGUGACGGGUAGCCGGCCUGAGAGGGUGGACGGUCACACUGGGACUGAGACACGGCCCAGACUCCUACGGGAGGCAGCAGUGGGGAAUAUUGCGCAAUGGGCGCAAGCCUGAUGCAGCGACGCCGCGUGAGGGAUGGAGGCCUUCGGGUUGUGAACCUCUUUCGCCAGUGAAGCAGGCCCGCCUCUUUUUGUGGGUGGGUUGACGGUAGCUGGAUAAGAAGCGCCGGCUAACUACGUG
This 506-nucleotide ribosomal RNA is filed under the name uncultured bacterium. Its description in RNAcentral is "partial 16S ribosomal RNA". It matches the Rfam family "Bacterial small subunit ribosomal RNA", at positions 28 to 507 of the family's 1533-position model. The record is from RNAcentral.